This 910-nucleotide ribosomal RNA is filed under the name Talaromyces aculeatus. Its description in RNAcentral is "LSU rRNA". It matches the Rfam family "Eukaryotic large subunit ribosomal RNA", at positions 36 to 964 of the family's 3401-position model. Lineage: Eukaryota; Fungi; Ascomycota; Eurotiomycetes; Eurotiales; Trichocomaceae. The record is from RNAcentral.
UAGCAUAUCAAUAAGCGGAGGAAAAGAAACCAACCGGGAUUGCCUCAGUAACGGCGAGUGAAGCGGCAAGAGCUCAAAUUUGAAAUCUGGCCCCUUUGGGGUCCGAGUUGUAAUUUGCAGAGGAUGCUUCGGGUGCGGUCCCCGUCUAAGUGCCCUGGAACGGGCCGUCAUAGAGGGUGAGAAUCCCGUCUGGGAUGGGCGGCCGCGCCCGUGUGAAGCUCCUUCGACGAGUCGAGUUGUUUGGGAAUGCAGCUCUAAGCGGGUGGUAAAUUUCAUCUAAAGCUAAAUACUGGCCGGAGACCGAUAGCGCACAAGUAGAGUGAUCGAAAGAUGAAAAGCACUUUGAAAAGAGAGUUAAACAGCACGUGAAAUUGUUGAAAGGGAAGCGUUGUCCACCAGACUCGCCCGGGGGGGUUCAGCCGGCACGUGUGCCGGUGUACUCCUCUCCGGGCGGGCCAGCAUCGGUUUGGGCGGCUGGUGAAAGGCCCCGGGAAUGUAACACCCUCCGGGGUGCCUUAUAGCCCGGGGUGCCAUACAGCCAGCCUGGACCGAGGCCCGCGCUUCGGCGAGGAUGCUGGCGUAAUGGUGGUCAACGGCCCGUCUUGAAACACGGACCAAGGAGUCUAACAUCUAUGCGAGUGUUCGGGUGUCAAACCCGUCCGCGCAGUGAAAGCGAACGGAGGUGGGAGCCUUUCGGGGCGCACCAUCGACCGAUCCUGAUGUCUUCGGAUGGAUUUGAGUAAGAGCAUAGCUGUUGGGACCCGAAAGAUGGUGAACUAUGCCUGAAUAGGGCGAAGCCAGAGGAAACUCUGGUGGAGGCUCGCAGCGGUUCUGACGUGCAAAUCGAUCGUCAAAUUUGGGUAUAGGGGCGAAAGACUAAUCGAACCAUCUGGUAGCUGGUUCCUGCCRA